UCAAUUAUCAAAACCUAAAAAAUCUGGUGGGGUAUUUCUGGAUUUUUAGUCUUUAAUUCAACAGAAGAGAAGGAAGGAGAAGAAGAGAGAGAGACCUGAAGGAGGCAUGCACACAAUUAACUUAUAUAAAACGUGGAAAACUGAAACCUAAAAAGAAGGGCACUUGAAAUGCCAGUUGCCAUGGACACUAAGGACACCGAGAUGACAGAGAGAGAUCCUUCGACGGCGGUGCCUCAGCAAGACCCCAACGAUGUCGUGAAAGAGCUGCUCACAUUGGCUCGUCAGCUCAUCAACCAGGGAAAACCUUCUCAGGCUCUGCAAGCGGUUGUCAUGGCAAUGCGUACCCAAGGUGGGGAUGAGGCUGUGUUUCAGUCACUGCACCGUGCUCGAGAGCUGUACAGAAAUAGGUUGCAAGAGCACACUGCUGUUGAUCAACUCGCUGUUCUGUUUGCUGAGUGUGCAAUUGCUGAAGUCCAGCCCUCUAAAGUGGAACCAUCACUGCUUAAUGUAGGUGGCCUGCCAUCCGAUGCUCAUGGAAAUUCUAUACUUGCAGAAACUGGCAGGACGCAAGUUGUGUUGGAUGCAUUGUCCGAUGGGAACAGCUUCAUCUGUUUACAAUGUGGAGGUCUUGUUAGUAACCAUCGCAAGGAUGAACACUAUGCCUACUGGUGUUGCCAACUCUG
This 683-nucleotide unclassified non-coding RNA is filed under the name Hevea brasiliensis (rubber tree). The record is from RNAcentral. Lineage: Eukaryota; Viridiplantae; Streptophyta; Magnoliopsida; Malpighiales; Euphorbiaceae.